Molecule: RNA transcript, 3621 nt
Organism: Pyrgilauda ruficollis (rufous-necked snowfinch)
Lineage: Eukaryota; Metazoa; Chordata; Aves; Passeriformes; Passeridae
Gene: N4BP1
Gene name: NEDD4 binding protein 1
Exons: 8
Source: RefSeq, a predicted model, not a curated record
GGGGCUAGGUGGGGCGGGGCUAGGCCGCCGGUGCUAACCAUGGCGGCGCGGCUGCGGGCGGGCGCUGCCCGGCGCCGUCGCGGGCCGAUGACGCGGGCGGUCGGUGCGGCGUUUCCCGGUGUCGCUGUUCCCGGUGCGAUGGGAUUGCGCGCCCCGCGCUGAUGGCGGCCCGCCGGACACCGCACGGCUCCGCGCCGGAGCCCAGGGUGGAUGAGUUCACCGUCCCCGCCGAGAAGAGCUGCCUCCUGGAGCGCAGCCGCGACCGCAUCGAGGGCUUGUUCGAGGUGCGGCUGGCCGUGCUGGGGGCGCAGGGGGACUGGCGGCGCGCGCUGCAGCCGCCCAACGCCAGCGCCAGGAUCUGGGUGCAGCUGGCGGGCUGCACGAAGGCCGUGAGCAGCGCCAAGGAGUACAUCAAGGGAGUGUGUGAACCUGAGCUAGAAGAAAAGGAGUACUACCCAAAGGACAUGCACUGCAUCUUUGUUGGUGCACAGAGCCUGUUUCUCAACAGUCUUAUUCAGGAUACCUGUGCUGACGUAACAGUGCUGGAAAUGGGAUUGCUCAGUAUUAAGGGGGGUGCAGAAGCUGUUGUUAUGGCUCAAAGUCAUGUGCAGCAGUUUGUGACGCUUUUUGAGAAUAAUGAAAGCUUAUUAAAUGACAAUGAAUCAGAGAUUAAAAAGCAGUUCAGACAAUUUGUGGAAGCACAUGCAGAUAAGUAUACAAUGGAUUUACUGAUUUUGCCUAGUGCACUAAAAAGAGAGCUCCUAGCUCUCACCCACGCUGCUGUUUCUGGAGGGAAGAUUGACAUCAUAGAUCUCACAGGCUCUGAAAGCCCACAGCAGCUUGGACAGAACAGCACCUCCAAAGUCAUUGCUGCAAACAGAGAAGGAGGGGCAGAUGGGGAGGAAGCAAGAAGCAGUGCUGGCACACCUGUAACUGAGCUUACAAAGCAAAUAGACACUGUGUUUUCUGAUGCUUCUGAAACAAGAUUUGUUCCCAUAAAGGACCCUCUGUUAGAAGCAGUGGCCUUUAAAGAGAGGCAGUCAUGUAAAAGAAGGUCCUCUGAUGAGGAGGAAAGGCUCCCUAAAAAGCAUUUAUCUUUGGAAAAUGAUCAACAAGUGAAAUCUACUUUACACAAGAAUCCUUCGGACCCUGAUGCAGUUAUUGAUCUGGUUUUGGAUAGCUGCAAUGAAUCAGAUGGUCCUACUUACUGCCUUAAAGAAGGUGAUGCUCUCACUGAGGAAAUGGAAUAUAAGAUUCUUGUGAACUUUUUCAGAACAAUGGGAUAUUCCCAAAAUAUUGUAGAAAAGGUUAUCGGUAUCCUUGGACAAUCUGUGGAACCAUUAAUAUUGCUAGAAGAAAUUGAAAAGGAAAAUUUGAAGUUUAAAAAAGAGCAUGAACAGUCGUCUCAAAAGCCUAGAACUGUCAGUCUUCCUUUAGGAAAUAAUGUAAGUAACUCACAAAAGCUAGAAGACAAAGGCAUUUCUAGGAAUAAAAGUCCACUUAAAUCCAGUCAUACUUCAAAGGAGGCAAAAAAUGAGUAUCACCAAGUAAGAGAUGAUCCAGACACACAAGUUGAUGCAGAAGAUAAAAAGCAUAGAUUGGUAUGCAAAUCUUCUUCCCCUCCCAGCAAAAAUUCAGUUCUGGGCUAUAAACAGAGAGAUGUUUAUGGCCCUGGUAAGAAUCACAACUCAAGGUCAAGCAAUAUAGAAACUGAUGGUGGGGUAACUUUCAGCACUGUGCACGCUGGAGCUCUGAAAGAUGUUGGCUUUGUAGCCAGAGGGAGCUCAGAUGUGCAGCAUAUCUCAAGUAAGAGUAAAACUGCAUUUCAGCAAAAAUCUGCAGGGCCCUCAACAGUACAGAACAGCCAGCCUGGUUCUGAGGAGCAGCUGGGACACUGCAGCUCUUCUCAAGCAAGGCCUCUCCACCAACGCCUCUCCCAGGCCUCACAUUGUGACAAUCCUGUCCCAGACCGGUUGCUGUCUUCACAAAAAAACCCUUCAAAUCCAGACAGAGACACAGUGGGACCACAUCCAGAUCAUUCAGUUACUGGAGUUCAAAGAUUUUUGGACUCUCUGAAGAAGCCAUACAAACUGGAGUUGAUAAAUGAACCUGGAAAACCAUAUUUAAAACAUAUUAUUAUUGAUGGAAGCAAUGUUGCAAUUUCUCAUGGUCUAAGGAAAUUCUUCUCCUGCAGAGGAAUUGCAAUAGCUGUUGAAUACUUUUGGAAACGUGGCCACAGGAAUAUUACUGUGUUUGUUCCACAGUGGAGAACAAGACGUGACCCUUCCAUUACAGAGCAGAAUUUCUUAACGCAGCUCGAGGAUGUUGGAAUAUUGUCUUUAACCCCUGCAAGGAUGGUUUUAGGAGCAAGAAUUGCAGCUCAUGAUGACAGAUUUUUAUUACACCUUGCUGCUAAAACUGGAGGUGUUAUUGUGACUAAUGAUAACUUCAGAGAAUUUGUGACAGAGUCACUUGCCUGGAGAGAAAUUAUUCAAAAAAGGUUGCUCCAGUACACUUUUGCUGGUGACAUAUUUAUGGUUCCUGAUGAUCCUUUGGGAAGAAAUGGACCCAGAUUAGAUGACUUCCUUCGAAGUGAAGGCUGUUCUAGUUCGUUCAGAAACUUCUGGUGACAUUUGCCUCUGAGAUCUCUCUGAGAACUGAGAUAAGUAUGACAAAAGCUUCUUCUGAGAUUUGGCUGUGGUGGCUUUCAUGCACGGGUGUGUUAACAGCACCCAGAGGUGCCAGAGAUGUGGGUAUCUGUUGUUAAUUACACUGAUGUUAUCUAAGACACCUUGGUUGGUCACUCCUUCAUAGUGGGACAAUAGGUGCUACAAACACCCUGCACUCAGGUUACAGGAGAGACACUUCACCUCAUGGUUGAGGGUACCUUACUGUUGCCAAAACAAUUUUGGAGGCAUUGUUAUUAAAUAUGUUUGUAUUAGAGUAAUAUAAUUGUAAUAAUUAUUGUCAUUAUAAAUAUUAAUGAACAUAAAUUGUUCAUUUAAGAUCAAUGUACUUUUUAAAUGUGCACAUAUUUAAAGUAUGAAUUUGCUUUGCAUGAACUGCCAAGAUUUGAGGGUUAGUUUGCUCUUUUGAACAAGAAAAUAAUAUUCUGUUCUUUCACCAGUUUAGGAAUUAGAAAUGCUAACAAUUCUGAGGAGUAUUGAGAGGGCUUUUAAAAACAAGGGAGGUAACUUAAAAAUUUUCAAUAGAAAAGGGAAGCUAUUCUUAAGGAUUAAUACAAAGAAUAAGCAAGAAUCUCAUCUGUUGUAGGUAUUUGAGGAAAGUAGAACAUUUUUAUACCAUAGAUUACAAGCUGAUUUGAAAAUAAGCGUGUUGACAUUAAAAAAGCAAGUGCAGUGCUAGAACUCCAGAAGAAAAUGCUGAAUAUUCAAGCUCUUGUACAAAACCUUUGAGAUGUUAUUUGGAACACUGUGUUUUACCUGCCUGUAUUUGAGAGAAAUAAAAUGAAAACUGAGCGUUCUGAGAGAUUCCUGGUCAACACACAAGGCUUUACAGAGCAGUGGACAAUAUUCUUCUGAGACACCCUCUUUCCUCCCCAAUGUGAGCAGUAGCUGUCGACAGCCUGGGGGCAGAGUGCUCUAUGAUCAUUCACUGGAA